GUUGGGGGGAUAGGAGAGGACAGGUGGGAGAAGGGAACUGGGAUUGUCAUGUAAAACAAUCCUGUUUCUAAUUCAAAUAAAAAAAGUUGGAAAAAAUAUUUUUCAAGUUAUUUCUUUGUAAACACUGCUGUACUGUCUUUUGGUGAUAUUAUUUCAUAACUUCUGUUCAUGCUAUGAAAAAGAAGUACAAAAUGUGAUGUUUCUGGGAUCAUUAAAUCUUGAUGAACAUUAAUGAUAAAUAUAUUGUGCCUCCUCUCUCAUUUGAACUCCAUUUCCUAAAGUGAAUCUUCCAUUUAUUUUUGCCUGUUCUUGCUCCAGUCCCCAAAUUGCUCUACUACCUUCAGUUAUUUCACACACUUUUUCUUGGUACUAAUUCUUUUUAAAUUUUUUUAAAAUUUAUUCUUUGAUAAUUUCAAACUAUAUUUUGAUCAAAUUCUUUGCCCUCCUUCAAUUCUUCUCAUGUCCUCCCCUCCUCCUCUAGCUAUCCAACUUUAUGCUCUGUCUCCCCCCCAAACACACACACACACACACACACACACACACACACACACACACACACAUACACACACACACACACACAGAGAGAGAGAGAGAGAGAGAGAGAGAGAGAGAGAGAGAGAGAGAGAUUCCAAUUUGUGUUGGCCAACUACUCAUGAGCAUGGUCCCUGCCCUAAAUUGUGAUUAAUACACUCAGUACCACUUCAUUCUCUGAAAAUCAGAGACCUGAUUUUCUCUAACCAAACUGCUAUCAAUGCCAAAUAGCUUCUUAAACAAGAUCAGGACUUUGUGUUCAUUUUCUCCCCAUGCUUGGGUUUUGUUUUGUUUGAGCAUGUGCAGGUUGCCAGGCGGUUGUGAUGCAUGGCCUUAAUCCUAGCACUUGGGAGGCAGAGGCAGGUGGAUCUCUGUGAGUUUGUGACCAGCCUCGUCUACAAGAAAUAGUUCCAGGACAGGUUCCAAAGUUACACAGAGAAACCCUGUCUUGGAAAACAAAACAAGACAAAAAAGAGCAUGUUUAGGUCUUGUGCAUGCUGUCACCCUUGAUAUUAAUGCUAAAUGGAUCUUUUGGAUCUUUUGCAGUCACAAAUCUGAUGCUAUCAAAUGGUGCUAGGAAUUUUCAAGUUUCUUGAUUUAGCACAUAAUACAUUUUAUAUAUUUACUAGUAUAUAUUCACAUUUUCUUAUCUUUCAUAGUUCACUAAUACUGAUGAACCAACCUGCUUCCAUUUAUGCUUAAAAGCUAUUUUAUAUUAAAGACAAACUAGGCUCAUUCCUCUUUAGAAUUAUUAAACUCAUUUCUCAAGGAUUUGACUAUGCCUCACCCAUAACAAAUAAUAGCAACCAUGCCUUUAUUUCAAAAAGUUGUUAUAACCAUCUUGCAAACCUUUCUUAGUUCCAAAAGGUUGUUAUGGAAGCUCAAGUGGAAAGAUAUCCUGACAGUCAGAAACCAAGGAAUACUACAAAGUCACACCAUACAACAAACCUCACAGAAAAGAUUACAAGGGAAAAAAACCUGAAGGUGGCUGCCUCUGCUUAUGUGAGAAACAGUUGCAAACUGAACAGGAUAUAGGGUUUAUAGAGAGUCUUUUGGGGAGGGGGAAUGGAAUGUUUCAGGGUGAAGCCUUCAAGGGUGGAGAUUGGCGGGAUUUCAAGUUCAGAGAUUGGGCUUUUCUAUAGGGUGAGGAGCUGAGUCCAGCAGCUAGGGCAGUUACAGGGUUCUAUGGGUGGAACUUGGCAGUUGGAGGUCAUUGGGGGAAGGUCCUGGGCCCUUGUAUGGCUGCAGGAGCUUACUAUAUGACUGUCUGUUAUUAUGACCACUUUGUCACAAUCACCAUGUAAUCAUGUAUUUGUUUCAUGAGGACAUUAUGACUUACUUGAUAUGCUUAUGUUCUGCUUCUAUAACCCUACCUACUUUGCCUGCCAAAUCUCCCAUUUAGAAACCCCAUAUCCCUGAGCUAUAAAAACCUCAUCUUCUUCACAUCCAAUGCUGACCCUGCUUUGGGAGGAAGGCAGCCCAUGUACACAAAUAAAAAUGGUUCCUUUAAUUAAUUGCUUGCUUUACUUAAUUUGGCCAUGAUAACGAUCAGGAUUGCUCCAAGAAUCUUGAUGCUCCCAUUCAACAGGAAGUAGUCUAAUAAUAAUGCUGUCCCCUUUGCAACCCCUGGUUGUUUAUUAAUUAUAAACAAAAAAGUGGAGAUGUAGAAUAAGAAGAGCCACUGAAAGAGCACCAUGGCCCUGAAACAAGAGCCAAGAAAAUACACCGGGCCUCUACCUGACUCAAGAAUCGAAAUCCAAUCAAUCCCUGAGCAAGAACAAUAACCAAACCCAGAGAAUGAAAAUCAACCAAUCCCAGAGCAUGAAAUCCAACCAAUCCCUGAGCACAAAAUCAAACCAAACUCUGAGCUUGUCCCAAGCUCAGGAAUUGUGAUCCUAUGAAUCCCUACCCUGAAAGUCUUCAUCCUGGAAAGCUCCACCCCUAAGAAACUAUAUAAAUCCUAUACCUGCUCAUUUGGGGGGCUUCCCUUUUUCCACACUGGCAGAAGUAGCCACUCUCUUGGAUUCCUCCCUCCCAGUAAAUCGCUUGAGUUAAAUUUGUUGUAAUGAUUUUCUUUUGCCAGGGCACAGUGGAACAGAGAUGUGACAACCUUGCCAGAACAGAGCAGAACUGUACCGGCUAUCCCCAUAGCCUGGCAGAACUGCUACAUUUCCACAGGGAAACUCCGUUAGUGGAGCUGUAACAACUUUUGCCAGAACAGAGCAGUGCUGUAAUGGUUCUCACUGGAGCACAGUGGAGCAGGAGCAGAGCAGAAGUGUAACACUUUUGCUGGGGAAACUUUUCCUUGCUGCAUCAAAGUUGUUAGAUUCCAGGGGAAGAGAGCAGAGCAGAGCUGUAGCAACCUUGCUGGGAAAACCCUCCCCUGCUGUAGCAGAGUUGUUCCACUUGCAUUGGGAGAACCUUUCCCAGAGCAAGGGAUGUAACAUUUUUUGGGGGAAACUGUCCCCUGCCGGAACAGAGCUGUAACACUUUUGUUGGGAUACCUUCCCUUCACAGCUAUAGAUAUUCUAUAGGCAGAGUUUUCCUACCAUGCGAGCUGCUUCCAAAUUGCCACACAGAGGCUUAUAUUAAUUAUAAAUGCUCAGACAAUAGUUCAGCUUUUUUUGCUAACUAGCUUUUAUAUUUUAAGCUAAUUCAUUUUCCUUAUUUACCUCUGCCAUGUGGAAGUACCUUUAUUAGCAUGGCACGUUCAUCUCCUGACCCUUUCGUAUCUGGCUAGUGACUCCUCUUACUCCACCUUUCUUUCCCUCACAGUCCUCUGUCUUUGGCUGUCCUGCAUAUACUUCCUGCCUGGCUACCAACCUGUCAGCUUUUUAUUAACCAAUGAGAGUAAUACAUAUUCAUAGUAUGCAGAAGGACUAUUCCACAGCAGUAGUCUUUGGUUUGACUGCUAUGAUACCUUUCCCUUCCAGGCUACAGAUAUUCCUUGGCUUCCUACUGCCAGGAUACAUUUCUCUUCAGAGCUGUAACACUUGCACAAUGUCCUUAACUACUCCUUCACAUGCUGCUUACCUCUUCGUUAAAAUCUAUCAAUGAAUAUCAUAAUAAACAAAAUGUUCAGAUUACUUCCUGUAGUGUAUUCUUUUUCAAUGAAUAUCUUUAUUGUGGCAGUUACUACAUAUAGUAGGCUUUAUUAUAUUAUUAUUAUAAUACAGUAUUAUUAUGUUAAUAGUAUUUACUCAGUGCUGUUCUUUUUGUUGCACUGUCUCUUUCUCUAAGUUGUCAAUUCCUUUGACACAGGGACUUUGUCUCAUUUAUUGUGUUUUUCAGUAUCUGUCCUUUACAUAAGAAAUGCUCACAGUGAGGAGAAACAGGGGGGAAUAGAGAGAAUGAAACAAAGCGAGAAAAGGAAAUAAAUAAUCAGAAAAGUACCAGGAGUAAAGAUGAAGUCAUGAAGGAAAGAAGGCAUACAGGAUCCAAAAAAAUAGGAAGGAUUAACAAACUCCCGCUUGGAAACCAAGAGAAGACAGAGAGAAGGGCAAUCAAGACAGAACCUACAAGAAACAUGAAAUCAAUUGGUCAAAACGUGGAAGACUGUCAACAAAAAUAAUAUGAAGGGAUGUCUGAUUUAUGAAUAUGCCAGAGAGCCAACUCUUCCAAUCCAAGGGAACAAAGUAUUUUGAAAGCUGUUUCUGUUGUAUAACGGCAUUAUUAAGAAGACAAGAUAAAUAAAGCUUGCCUUGAAAAUUCUAAGUAAGCCACAGUUUCUGGACUUUGAUGUUAUGGAGAUCAUAUCAUUCCUUGUCGACAUGUUCAACGACUUCUAGAACCAGAAGAAAGGCAGCUCUUGAGAAUUUUCCAAUGUGAUUCUAAAACUGAACUGACGGAAAUCCCAUUUCAAAGACUGUUUUCCUGACACUUCCUAACAAAUUUUAGUCUCUAGAGGCAAGUCUCCUUUUGAUUAGCUGAAUGUAAGCAAUUAGUUUUAUGAAUGGUAUUGCCAACAAUUCUCUCCCCACCUAGCUACUUCCUAAGAAAUAACAUGAACAAGCAAGAAACAAGGCUGAUGCCAUUGUGCAGACAAUGCUCAUUGCCACAUGCCUGUUGCUGCUGCUGCCUCUGCCAUUGCAGAACAGAAGACUGUGGUAGCUAUCUACCUUGUUAUACAAUG
This is a non-coding RNA of Cricetulus griseus (Chinese hamster), 4663 nucleotides long. The record is from RefSeq and is a predicted model, not a curated record. Lineage: Eukaryota; Metazoa; Chordata; Mammalia; Rodentia; Cricetidae.